GCCUUCGAGGUUUAGUGGUCAGCACACUCGGUGCGUAUUCGAGAGGUCCGUGGUUCGAGUCCCGGCGAGAGUA
Molecule: transfer RNA, 73 nt
Filed under: Stegodyphus mimosarum
Lineage: Eukaryota; Metazoa; Arthropoda; Arachnida; Araneae; Eresidae
Rfam family: tRNA
About the family: Transfer RNA (tRNA) molecules are approximately 80 nucleotides in length. Their secondary structure includes four short double-helical elements and three loops (D, anti-codon, and T loops). Further hydrogen bonds mediate the characteristic L-shaped molecular structure. tRNAs have two regions of fundamental functional importance: the anti-codon, which is responsible for specific mRNA codon recognition, and the 3' end, to which the tRNAs corresponding amino acid is attached (by aminoacyl-tRNA synthetases). tRNAs cope with the degeneracy of the genetic code in two manners: having more than one tRNA (with a specific anti-codon) for a particular amino acid; and 'wobble' base-pairing, i.e. permitting non-standard base-pairing at the 3rd anti-codon position.
Source: Rfam by way of RNAcentral